GACGAACCGUGCGAACGUUGUUCGGAAUCACUGGGCUUAAAGGGCGCGUAGGCGGGCUGUCAAGUCUGGGGUGAAAUGCCGCGGCUCAACCGUGGAACUGCCUUAGAUACUGACGGCCUCGAGGAAGGUAGGGGCAUGCGGAACUGUAGGUGGAGCGGUGAAAUGCGUUGAUAUCUACAGGAACUCCGGUGGCGAAAGCGGCGUGCUGGACCUUUUCUGACGCUGAGGCACGAAAGCGUGGGGAGCAAACAGG
This 253-nucleotide ribosomal RNA is filed under the name uncultured bacterium. Its description in RNAcentral is "partial 16S ribosomal RNA". It matches the Rfam family "Bacterial small subunit ribosomal RNA", at positions 524 to 776 of the family's 1533-position model. The record is from RNAcentral.